RNAcentral lists this ribosomal RNA (463 nucleotides) under uncultured bacterium. RNAcentral describes it as "partial 16S ribosomal RNA". It matches the Rfam family "Bacterial small subunit ribosomal RNA", at positions 28 to 507 of the family's 1533-position model. The record is from RNAcentral.
GACGAACGCUGGCGGCGUGCUUAACACAUGCAAGUCGAACGGUGAACCUCUGCGGAGGGGCUCAGUGGCGAACGGGCGAGUAACUCGUGGGCAACUUGCCCCCGGCUCUGUGAUAACUCCAAGAAAUUGGGGCUAAUACAGGACGUUCACCGCUUCCCGCUUGGGUGGUGGUGGAAAGGGUUUCCGGCUGGGGGUGGGCCCGCGGCCUAUUAGCUUGUUGGUGGGGUAGUGGCCUCCCAAAGCGACGACGGGUGGCCGGCCUGGGAGGGUGACCGGCCACACUGGGCCUGAGACACGGCCCAGACUCCAACGGGGGGCAGCGGUGGGGAAUAUUGCGCAAUGGGCGGAGGCCUGACGCAGCGACGCCGCGUGGGGGAUGACGGCCUUCGGGUUGUAAACCUCUUUCAGCAGGGACGAAGCGCAAGUGACGGUACCUGCAGAAGAAGCACCGGCCAACUACGUG